CCCCGUGCGCCGCACACAGCCCCCUCCCUCGUUUUUUUUCUGUUCUUCUUUUCUCUUCUUUUCUCUUCUUUCUUCCUUUCCCCAGCCGCCCCCCAAUUUCUUUUUCCUCUCUUUUCCGUUCCGUCCAAACCCAGUCGGCCACACAAGCUGCCGGUCGUCCCUUUCUUUUUCUUUCCGGCCGUCCUUCUUUUCUUCUUCGGAUCUAAACCGCCGCGCCCAUCCGCCUGUAACCGCUGUGUCUCUCCGCUCACAACCGUCGCGCCUCCCUCGGAAAGCAAGUUGUCGUCCAGAUCUGCAUCGCCGUGCCGUCCAAGUCCUCGCCGCCGCUCGUGCUUCACCCUUGCAGUUCGCCGUAACCCAGAUCCGUCGCUGUCCGAUCUCUUCUCCUCGUUCCGUCGCCGCUGACUCCACCUUGUUCUACGGUCUCUUGUUUAGGUGUGGAAGGUAACAUUGGGUCACUUGAAUUCACAACCAAUUUGUGAAUUUUGAAUUCGGUUCGCCCACAUUUGGUAAGCAAAAAAAUCUACUUUGAGGAAAGUAAGUGAGAUAUGUAUCGUGAAAGUAAUGCGUGCUUAGGAUUGUUUCAUGCACCUUAGUUGAUUAAGGAGCUUCCCUAACUUUGAGGUAAGAGAUUUUCAAGAAAUUCAAGAUGUGUUGACUGUAUGAAUCAUGAAUCAUAACGUUAUAUGUGUAUGCACUAAGGCGCAUUGGUCUUCUGGAGCCUAGGUGCAAGGCGCAAAAAAAAGCGCGAGCUUUUUUUCAUAAGGGGCACUAUAUAUAAAAAGAGAAGAAAAUAUAUAUAUACACACAUAUAGCAAAGCAACAAUGUAUAAAAUAUAGGUACCCAAUAUAAGUAGCCUAAACAACAAAACACAACAAAAAACUACCCAGUAUUCAACAAGUCAAUAAUCAAAAUAAAAGUUCAUCCCUAAAGAUCAAACUCAUCAUCACUAAAUUGAUCGCUCGUCUUCAUUCAAUCCUUCGUUAGACUUAUAGCCAUCAGUAUCUUCUUCUUCCAAAUCGAAGUCAUCUAAAUUUACUUGUUUUCGUUGCGUGGUAGACGAGGAUGAACAUGAAACAAUAGUCUUUGGUCUAGAGGUACUAGCUCUAGAAUAGAAUGAUGGUUCUUUUGCUCCGACAGCUCUAGAAACAUCACCCCACGUUAAAGAAUCAUCAUUAAAUACCAACUCAUCAUCCUCCUCAGAAUCGUCAUCCAAUCUUCCAAUCAACCAUUCAUUACUAUCAUCAAUAUCUUUCAAGGAGAUGGGGUCGACAAUAUCUCGUAGGUUGUAUCGACGUUUUAGUGCUCUGUUGUAUUUGAUGAACACUAGAUCAUUCAAACGACUUUGAGCAAGCCUAUUUCGUUUCUUGCUAUGAAGCUGAAAAAUUAGAAAGUUUCAUUGUCAGUGAAUCAACAAAUUUUGAUUAUCAUUCUCAAUGUACUUAAGGAGAGGAAAGGUAACCUGUUCAAACACACUCCAAUUACGCUCGCAUCCAGAAGCACUACAAGUAAGACCUAAAAUUCUCACAGCAAACUUUUGCAAGUUUGGAGUUGAUUGUCCAAAAUUAUCCCACCAUUCCACUAUAGGCACAAACAAAAAAAAA
Molecule: long non-coding RNA, 1605 nt
Organism: Cucumis sativus (cucumber)
Lineage: Eukaryota; Viridiplantae; Streptophyta; Magnoliopsida; Cucurbitales; Cucurbitaceae
Exons: 2
Source: RefSeq, a predicted model, not a curated record